This 491-nucleotide ribosomal RNA is filed under the name Treponema denticola. RNAcentral describes it as "bacterial SSU rRNA". It matches the Rfam family "Bacterial small subunit ribosomal RNA", at positions 9 to 487 of the family's 1533-position model. Lineage: Bacteria; Pseudomonadati; Spirochaetota; Spirochaetia; Treponematales; Treponemataceae. The record is from RNAcentral.
GAGUUUGAUUAUGGCUCAGAACGAACGCUGGCGGCGCGUCUUAAGCAUGCAAGUCGAACGGUAAGGGAGAGCUUGCUCUCCCCUAGAGUGGCGGACUGGUGAGUAACGCGUGGGUGACCUGCCCUGAAGCUGGGGAUAGCUAGUAGAAAUAUUAGAUAAUACCGAAUGUGCUCAUUUACAUAAAGGUAAAUGAGGAAAGGAGCUACGGCUCCGCUUCAGGAUGGGCCCGCGUCCCAUUAGCUAGUUGGUGAGGUAAAGGCCCACCAAGGCAACGAUGGGUAUCCGGCCUGAGAGGGUGAACGGACACAUUGGGACUGAGAUACGGCCCAAGCUCCUACGGGAGGCAGCAGCUAAGAAUCCUCCGCAAUGGACGAAAGUCUGACGGAGCGACGCCGUGUGAAUGAAGAAGGCCGAAAGGUUGUAAAAUUCUUUUGCAGAUGAAGAAUAAACACAGGAGGGAAUGCCUGUGAGAUGACGGUAGUCAUGCGAAU